This is a long non-coding RNA of Zalophus californianus (California sea lion), 1132 nucleotides long. RefSeq lists it as uncharacterized. The transcript is spliced from 5 exons. The record is from RefSeq and is a predicted model, not a curated record. NCBI's taxonomy places the organism in Eukaryota, Metazoa, Chordata, Mammalia, Carnivora, Otariidae.
UGGAAAUUGGGACACCCAUGAUGUCUUAGAGGGUUGGAAAAGAACUGAGGUCAGCCACAUAUCUGAGCACCAUGAAUACACCAGCUACAGGAUCAGUGCACCCUGCCUUAAAAAGCCAGCUGCAAUGAAACACUUUCGAAUGGAGAAGCAUCUGGAUGUUGAGGAUAUCAGAGAAGCCUCCUGCUGGCCUGGAAAGGAGAUCAACUAUGCCUGAAGAAACAGAACCUACAAAUAACCGAGGUACUCCUUGGUAGGAGCCUCACAUCCACCAGAGUUUUCGUGAGCUAACUGGUCUACAAGAUGACUGCCAUGCUGUAGCUGCUGGAGGUAGCCUGAUCAAAAACACCGUCAGUGUGGAGAUGAUUGAUUGAUUCUUCUUUGUAUCUCCUGUAAUACCCACAUCUUUGAUCUAGCCAACCAUUAAAGAGAGCAUGGUUGUAUUAUAGGUAUUAAACAGCAUGUAUUAUAUACAGGUCCAAAUGGUAAAGAGCAAGUAGAUGAGUUAGAGGGAGGAUAUAAUACAUAAGGAAAGAGGUUCUUGGUGUCCGGAGGGGGGCCUUUUCCUCCCAGCUGCUUACUUGAGUGGUCUGCAAGCACGUCUUCAGCCCCCAAAUGAGGCCUAUGUGGAAAAGGACGACAUCGAGCAAAGGGCAUAGGUGGAAACUCCCUCCCCCUGCAGCACAUCAUGUGCUACUCUCAGCUCAGUGGUUUAAAGAGAGCAAGAAGAUUUACUUCAGAUGGCUGGCGUCCCUGUCACCAUCCCCAGACCCGUUUCUGAGAGAGGGGUGUGCAGGAGAGAGAAGAGGAGGUGGUGGUCAUUCUGAAGCAAGAUAAUACAUAACAUAGGAAACUAAAUGGUAGUGAAUGAAUAAUGCUAAAGGCUAGAAAAAUUUGUAGAGAAGUGGAGAGAAGCUCCAGAGCUGAGCCAGCAGCGGAGGACGUGCCCACCAUUGCUGGAUAAUUUAUUUUGGAAGCAGGCCUGAGAAUGGGAAUCUGAUUAUUCAGCAAAAAUCCUAAUCUAUAAAGAGGCUUUCUUACCUUAGACUCACUGAGGUAUAUAUCCUGACAUUGUAAGGGUUCAGAAGACCAGAACACAAGCCCAGUGUUCAGGUCAAGAGAACAAGAGCCUUGG